UUUUAAGAUAAGGGCCCCAAAUCUCCAUCUUGAUGGAGAUGGCAGAACAGCAAUCUGACACCUCCAGAAAUAGACAGUGCAGUGAGUGCUGUAUGGUUCAGCAUACUUCGUGUCUCACACAUGGGGUGUACAUGAGCAUGCAGUGCUGAGGUGCUUUUCAUGUGUUAAAUAUUCCCGCCUAUCUACAGACUGAGAACUUUGUAAAUACUGAAUAUCAUGAGCAUGAUAAUCAAUUAUUCCAAUAGAAAAAAAAGUUAUCAUUGAAUUUGAAUGGUAUGACAACAAGAGGAGAGAGGAAGUACCGUCAAAAAGAGCAAUUUAUUGUGCAUCUUCUGUGUGAGAAAAAAUAGCUUAAAUAUGACAUGGCGAUGAUGAGGGAACCGUAGGUUUCAAAGGAAGAGUCAUUUGACUUGACCUGCUUUUGUAUCUCAGCAGGCCCCAUUGGAGAGCCCCAGCCUGCUGUUCUCAUGAGCAAUUUCAGUUACCCUGAUGCCAUAUUAGCUUUGGACAAACUGUGAAUAAGAUGACUCCUGCUCUCAACAUGCAUUCUGCAACAGGAUCAAUAAGGAGAGCCUUUGACUCUUCACUCACUCCUGAAGAUGAUACAGCCCUGUAGGGAGAAGUUUUGGCGAGAGACUCCCCCAGUGCAAUCCCUACAGACUGGAUAUACUAUGAAGACCUACAGACAUCCAGGGACUGGAAGAGGACCAAAAGUGCUGCCACAGUACAAAUAACAUGUCUCUUCUGCUGUGACAAAGAGUACGCUUCAGCCACUGGAUCCAAAAAGACUCUUUAAAUCACAUUAAGUAUUCAACAGUGGUGACAACACAGAGAGCACGAGGACCUGACGGGACAAACUUACGGUCAAAAAGCUGCAGAUGACCCACAACCAGGAAUAAACCAACAAAUGGCAGAUGUUAUGCAAUUCAACUUACCUUGUAUUUACUUAUGAAAGACUGCAAAUGGGCAGCACAUUUAAAAUGGGAAGCAUUUUAAUUAAAAUGCUUUCAUUUUGUUGCUACACUUAAAGUUGGUGGAUUGAAG
Gallus gallus (chicken) is the source of this 1044-nucleotide long non-coding RNA. Lineage: Eukaryota; Metazoa; Chordata; Aves; Galliformes; Phasianidae. The record is from Ensembl.